This 72-nucleotide transfer RNA is filed under the name Alligator mississippiensis (American alligator). It matches the Rfam family "tRNA". Rfam says of the family: Transfer RNA (tRNA) molecules are approximately 80 nucleotides in length. Their secondary structure includes four short double-helical elements and three loops (D, anti-codon, and T loops). The record is from Rfam by way of RNAcentral. Lineage: Eukaryota; Metazoa; Chordata; Crocodylia; Alligatoridae.
ACCUGGAUAGCUCAGUUGGUAGAGCUUCAGACUUUAAUUUGAGGAUUUAGGGUUCAAGUCCUUGUUCAGGUG